GACGAACGCUGGCGGCGUGCCUAACACAUGCAAGUCAAGGAGAAUUCCCGACUUGUCGGGAUAGUAAACUGGCGAACGGGUGAGUAUCACGUGGGUAAUCUUCCUUUAAGUGGGGAAUAAGCUCUCGAAAGGGAGUCUAAUACCGCAUGACAUUCCGGGACACAAGUCCCGUAAUCAAAGCCGCAAGGCGCUUGAAGAUGAGCCUGCGUCCUAUUAGCUAGUUGGUGAGGUAACGGCCUACCAAGGCUCAGAUGGGUAGCCGGCCUGAGAGGGUGAACGGCCACACUGGGACUGAGACACGGCCCAGACUCCUACGGGAGGCAGCAGUAAGGAAUAUUGGGCAAUGGUCGAAAGACUGACCCAGCCAUGCCGCGUGCAGGAUGAAGGCCCUAUGGGUUGUAAACUGCUUUUAGCCGGGAAUAAACACCGUUUUAUAACGGGCCGAAGGUACCGGCUGAAUAAGCAAUCGGCUAACUCCGUGCCAGCAGCCGCGGUAAGCAUACUCGUA
RNAcentral lists this ribosomal RNA (508 nucleotides) under uncultured bacterium. RNAcentral's name for it is "bacterial SSU rRNA". It matches the Rfam family "Bacterial small subunit ribosomal RNA", at positions 28 to 529 of the family's 1533-position model. The record is from RNAcentral.